This 872-nucleotide ribosomal RNA is filed under the name Dugesia sp. MR1300.02. Its description in RNAcentral is "SSU rRNA". The record is from RNAcentral. Lineage: Eukaryota; Metazoa; Platyhelminthes; Tricladida; Dugesiidae.
UCAUAUGCUUAUCUCAGAGAUUAAGCCAUGCAUGUCUAAGUACACAGUUUUGUACACUGAAACCGCGGAUAGCUCAUUAUAACAGCUAUGAUUUAAGAGAUAUAAUCUAUUUGCCAUAGGAUAACUGUGGUAAUUCUAGAGCUAAUAUUUUUAAGAAUGCCGUGACUCACGAAGCGGCGGAUUUAUUAGAUCAAAACUAACCUGUCGCAAGGCAGAAUUUUGAUGACUCUGGAUAACUUUACUGAUCGUAUAACGUUAUGUUGACGACGAAUCUCUUGAAAUGGCUGACCUAUCAACUUUCGAUGGUAAGAUCAAAGCUUACCAUGGUUGUAACGGGUAACGGGGAAUCAGUGUUCGAUUCCGGAGAGGGAGCCUGAGAAACGGCUCCCACAUCCACGGAAGGCAGCAGGCGCGAAAAUUACCCAAUACCGGUUCGGUGAGGUAGUGACAAUAAAUAACAAUAUGGGCCCUAGUGGUUUCAUAAUUGCAAUGAGAAUAUUUUAAAUACUUUAUCAAGUAUCAAUUGGAGGGCAAGUCUGGUGCCAGCAGCCGCGGUAAUUCCAGCUCCAAAAGCGUAUAUUAAAGUUGUUGCAGUUAAAAAGCUCGUAGUUGAAAUUGAGGAAGCGAUUUGUUUGAAGGUUAUGCCGGAUAACGAGUCGUCCUUUUCGUCGUGUAUAUUUUUGAGCCACUUAAUUGGGGUUCKUAAGUAACCGACAAGUUUACUUUGAAAAAAUUAGAGUGCUUAAAGCAGGCUUAUGCUUGUAUAUUGUUGCAUGGAAUAAUGAAAUAAGACUUCGGUUUUAUUUUGUUGGUUUUCGAAACUGAAGUAAUGAUUAAAAGAGACUGCCGGGGGCAUAUGUAUGCUGGUGCUG